Long non-coding RNA from Macrosteles quadrilineatus (aster leafhopper), 1899 nucleotides. RefSeq lists it as uncharacterized. The record is from RefSeq and is a predicted model, not a curated record. The transcript has 4 exons. Lineage: Eukaryota; Metazoa; Arthropoda; Insecta; Hemiptera; Cicadellidae.
GCCUACUCUCUGUUUGAUUUACCUUGGUUUAUUUGGAUUUGGUUACAUUAAAUAUUUUCGGAUAGGUACAAAUACCAAAUUGUAAGGUCGAAGUCUGACAAACUUUCAUUUAUGGUCCUGGAUGGGUUGAUUCAACUGGCUGCUGUCCUCGGAGAGGUUACCAUGAUCCUAAUGUCACCGUGGGCUACCUAAUUUUAUACCCUUGGACUACGUUAAAACAACUGAGGACCGGCACCCAACACCUGCCACUGUGGAAGUCCUGAGCCCAAGAAUAGAUUGGAUAAGUUACCAAGUAGACCAAAGUACCAUCAAGAUAAUUACUAAAUUAUCCACUGUAGCAAUUUUAACUUAAUUUUUAUUUUAUUUUUACUCCUUAGAAAUGAAUUUUCAUCUUAUAAAAGUGGAGAGAAACUGAGAACUGGCUACCUCUGACACUAAUCCACAUAUACAUAAUAGUUUGGUAAAGGGUUACUUAUGUUUGUUAUGAUGGAUUAUAUAGGCCCUAAAUACUUAUAGCCCCAAACUUUUGACCAGUGGCCGGGACCCCUAGGCCUACACCUGAAAACCUAACCUAAAAUUUGUUGAUAAGUAAGAAUAGGCCUAACUUCUUUUGAUUUGUGACAUUAAAUAGUUUACUUGAACCAUGGGGCCUGUAGUUUUAUUUACUAGUCAACAUUUUAAACAUGAAAUUUCAGUUUGAAUUAAUCAUGAGCUAAGAGAGAGAAAUUUUAUUCACAACUCAGCUGACAGUUGUAAUAUUCUGAAUGUCUGAAAAGUGAUAAAAGUUUAGUUUCCUGAAUUUUAAGUAGCCUAUGUUCACGAUUAUUGACUAAAGAACUUUCAAUUUCAGUGUCAAUUAUGUAGGCCCACGAAACUUUAAUAAUAAAUAAUAGGUAGUUAUUUGUCUUAAACGUAUGGUAACUGUCACGCUAAAAUUUAAACCCAAGUCAGGACCAUGUUGACCGAGUAACUUAGUAUUUUAAGUUAUAAGUUUUGUUUGUUUGAACUUAUUAUUUAAGUUAUGUGCAUUUGUUUGAUUAAGUAGCAAUAUUUUUUGACAAUUCAAAUAUUUUUAACUGGAAUUAGGGACCUAGUGAUAUUUUCAGUACAUCAAAGACUGAGAUACACCUGGGUUCUGACAUUAGAAUUUUUAGAUUCAGGGAAAUUCAUCAAGGCCUAGGCCCAAUACAAGGCUGUGCCAAUUUUCAAGAAUUUUAAAAGGUUAGAUUUUACUUUAAGUAGUCCUAACUUAUGAUUUGUUUAAAGGGGUCCUAUCCUGAGCCUGACCAACAGCUACAAGCAUGUGAACAUCUAGACCUACUAAUAGUUCAACACUGACCACACCUCACAAACUUCAAGUGUCGUCCGACAACUUAGCUACUGUAGGCUAUCCCAAGGCCCAUCAAUCAAUUCCUAGAAAGGUGCAAUUGGGUGAUCAUCUUAGCCGUUGUCCUCGUCAUGAUUGCUAUUCUCUGGCCCCUCCUUGCUGUUGUCAGCUGCAUACAUAGCCCAUGUACUGUCACAAGGGUGUUAUUAUAUAAAAAUUCAGAUAGAGGCAGGUGGUGUGGCAAACAUUUGGUCCUGACCUAAAGUUUUACUCCACAGGCUGGGGCUGGCUGAGUUUUGGUUGUUACUGAAAAAGGUAGUAUUUCUUUGGUAGAUAUAUUAUAAAAUAAACUGAGUCUGUCAGUUUAUAUUGUGUUAGGUUAAACAUAAACUUAAGAACAUAAAGUCCAAGAAAACUUGAAAAUGGGUUCUUUUUAAAUUUCAGAAUUAACCACUUUGGCCAUUACUAUUUUCAACUAAUUGUUUUGUGUGUUAUUUUAUUUAAUUAUCAAGCAGAAUAGUGAUUUUUUGUUUGAAGGAAUUUGUUACACUUUUGUUUUUAAAAUAUGAAAU